AUAUAUAUAUAUAUAUAUAUAUAUCUUUAGCUCAAGUACUUUCACACUUCUCAUUGCUUCAUCAGGAGCUGUGCAAUGUUGCAAGGGCAGCAACAGGAGAAAAUGAGGAAAGUUUUUUUUUUCAGAGUAUGGUAGAGUGAGUGGCACCCGCAGGUACUUCUCUCGGAAUGCCUUUGCAACAUUACAUAGCUCCUGAUGACGUACCGAGAAUUGUGAAAGUACCAGACCUAAAGAUUUCCACCCCGUGGCAUAUAUAUAUAUAUAUAUAUAUAUAUAUAUAUAUAUAUAUAUAUAUAUAUAUAUAUAUAUAUAUAUAUAUAUAUUACAUAAAUUAUAUAUUACAUAAAUCAAAAUAAUUAAGUAAUUUAUGCAGUCUUAAAAAUAAAAACUGUAAUCAGUUUGUUAUUAUUAAAUAUUAUUAAAUAUUCUCAAUUACUAGUUGGUUGGUUAAUGGGGUUUAAAGCCUAUCUACUACACGAGGGUCAUUAAGGCUGCAGGUCACCUGUUUACCACCAGUCAAGAAUAUUUUAAUAACUAAAAUAGGGAAUAAAAUAUACUCGCAGUGUAUAUACGCUAAGGGAAAUAUACCAGCAGGUGUAUAUAUUCUUUAUUAAGCCAAUAUGAGUAAAUUUAAAACGAAAUUGAUCUAAAAAAAAAAAAUAUAUAGUCUUGUCGACCUUCAAUACUUUUAUCUUAAAAUUAAAAUAUAUUAUUCUCAAACUUCGGAAGAGAAUUAAAAAAAACAUUUUUGGAUUUUUUUUUACAUACAGUAUAAAGAAUUAUGUAAAAUUUAAAAAAAAUGAUAGAGAACUUGUAUUUGACCCAAAGGUCUCAGACACUCCCUAAAGAGGGAGCCAAGGCCGGGCCACCACUUGGACAAGGCCCGGGCCGGGAGAAUACCGGCGAAUCUUUAACUAACUAACCAAACUUUAUGAAGUAUAAUACUGUCUGCACUUCAGUAAUGAUCCCCCUAAUUCUGUGCCUUUCUAAAUGAGUAAAAACUUCGUGGUUUCAUGUGGUCCUUUAUUGACAACGUUUCGCUCACACAGUGUGCUUUAUCAAGUCACAAACAGAUCUACCUAGGCGAAGAGUACAUGUGUAUAUAUAGGGUGGAGAGUGCUCAGGUACUCUCUACCCAGGUAUAUCUGAGGUACUCUCUACCCAGGUAUAUCUGAGGUACUCUCUACCCAGGUAUAUCUGUUUGUGUUGUAAUAAACCCCACAGUGUGGGGGAAACGUGUUUAGUAAAACAUCACAUUAUGCUGCAUUUAUGUGUUUCCAUCGUGUGGGUAUUUUAUAUCAUGUAUCUAACUGAAGAAUUAGCCACAAGUACAAACACCUGGAUAUCUUUAGUUGUAGACGUUUCGCCUUCCAGUGACUUUAUGUAUUGGUAAAAUCACUGGCGCACGAAACGUCUACAAAUAAAGAUACCCAGGUGUUGCACAUGUGGCUAAUUCUUCAUCUUGUGGGCAUUGUAUACCAUUUAUAUGAUUCUUAAGACACGUUUCUAAUACACAGAAUCAACACUGACACCUUUUUCUAUGUUUAACAACGCAUUUACGUCGACACGGCGAUCAGAGUGGAGCUACAUAAUCUACAUAAGGCCUAGCCAAAGAUACAUAAACUUGUAGAAAGAAAAUCACGUCUUAGAGUUUCACGGCUCACUUGCCACGAGUUCAAUCCCCACCCGUAACGUGGUGGGGAGUGAGCGUCCAAUCGCGUCAUUACGAUUUCGUGAGUCAAAGAAAUUGUAGUACACUUUGGGACGUCUAUUAACUAUAGUUAUUGAUGUGUCGUCAAGAAAUCUAUUGGAUUCAUUGCAAAUAUUUAUACACUCUUGUUGAGGUACGAGGUAAUGUAGUGUGGAGGUACAAGGUAAUGUAGUGUGGAGGUACGAGGUAAUGUAGUGUGGAGGUACAAGGUAAUGUAGUGUGGAGGUACAAGGUAAUGUAGUGUGGAGGUACAAGGUAAUGUAGUGUGGAGGUACAAGGUAAUAUAGUGUGGAGGUACAAGGUAAUGUAGUGUGGAGGUACAAGGUAAUAUAGUGUGGAGGUACAAGGUAAUGUAGUGUGGAGGUACGAGGUAAUGUAGUGUGGAGGUACAAGGUAAUGUAGUGUGGAGGUACAAGGUAAUGUAGUGUGGAGGUACGAGGUAAUGUAGUGUGGAGGUACAAGGUAAUGUAGUGUGGAGGUACGAGGUAAUGUAGUGUGGAGGUACAAGGUAAUGUAGUGUGGAGGUACAAGGUAAUGUAGUUUGGAGGUACAAGGUAAUGUAGUGUGGAGGUACGAGGUAAUGUAGUGUGGAGGUACAAGGUAAUGUAGUGUGGAGGUACAAGGUAAUGUAGUUGGAGGUACAAGGUAAUGUAGUGUGGAGGUACAAGGUAAUGUAGUGUGGAGGUACAAGGUAAUGUAGUGUGGAGGUACGAGGUAAUGUAGUGUGGAGGUACAAGGUAAUGUAGUGUGGAGGUACAAGGUAAUGGAGUUUGGA
Non-coding RNA from Cherax quadricarinatus, 2486 nucleotides. The record is from RefSeq and is a predicted model, not a curated record. Lineage: Eukaryota; Metazoa; Arthropoda; Malacostraca; Decapoda; Parastacidae.